CGGGCUGUAGUAUAUCGGUAGUAUGCAUGCUUUGGGAGCAUGAGGGCUGGGUUCGAUUCCCAGCAGCCCGA
RNAcentral lists this transfer RNA (71 nucleotides) under Candidatus Wolfebacteria bacterium CG10_big_fil_rev_8_21_14_0_10_31_9. RNAcentral's name for it is "tRNA-Pro". It matches the Rfam family "tRNA". From Rfam's summary of the family: Transfer RNA (tRNA) molecules are approximately 80 nucleotides in length. Their secondary structure includes four short double-helical elements and three loops (D, anti-codon, and T loops). Further hydrogen bonds mediate the characteristic L-shaped molecular structure. tRNAs have two regions of fundamental functional importance: the anti-codon, which is responsible for specific mRNA codon recognition, and the 3' end, to which the tRNAs corresponding amino acid is attached (by aminoacyl-tRNA synthetases). tRNAs cope with the degeneracy of the genetic code in two manners: having more than one tRNA (with a specific anti-codon) for a particular amino acid; and 'wobble' base-pairing, i.e. permitting non-standard base-pairing at the 3rd anti-codon position. Lineage: Bacteria; Candidatus Wolfeibacteriota. The record is from RNAcentral.